This is a long non-coding RNA of Engraulis encrasicolus (European anchovy), 1887 nucleotides long. RefSeq lists it as uncharacterized. The record is from RefSeq and is a predicted model, not a curated record. Lineage: Eukaryota; Metazoa; Chordata; Actinopteri; Clupeiformes; Engraulidae. The transcript is spliced from 3 exons.
UUUCAGUGCUGGGCAGUAGCGAAGCGACUAGUUUAAUUACAUUCCCUAGUAGCUUGGUCGUAGCGUCAUUACUCGACUAACGUCCCUGUAGUUAGGAAAGAAAUAGUUUGGAAAUCAAUGUGAAAUACCCUGGCAUUUGCAACAGUAGGCAACCUGUCCUUAAAAAGUAUGGGUCCUCAAAACACCACUUGUUGCACAAAUAAGUGUUGCAAUAGAGCACGCCACCCCGAAAUCAAUGUGAAAUACCCUGGCAUUUGCAACAGUAGGCAGGCAGCAUGUCCUUAAAACGUAUGGGUCCUCAAAACAGCACUUGUUGCACAAAUAAGUGUAGCUGGCCUCUUCAAGAAAUUGAAAUUAUGCAUGGUCACUUUUUCUUAUUGUUUCACGUGGAGGUCUACUGACAUUGUCUAAAUAAUGUAGGCUAGUUUAUGUCCAUGUAUUAUAUUAGGACCCAAGGUUAAUGGGUUAUUCUGUUUACCAUGUUUUCACAGGCUGCUGUCUCAUAAUAUGGCGAAGACGAGUCACUUGAAGGCCUAACAGCUCUUAUGAGGAGCAGUCUUGCCAUAGAAGACUGAAAGAAUGUAAGAUUAACUUCUUUGUGACCAAUAUGACUUGCUCAUUGAUACAUUAGCUAUGUCAAUAUGAGAUGCAUGGCGAAGUAUUUAAUUUAUUUGUCUCUCUUCUAGGAGCUGUAGAAACAACAGGGUGCCUGCUGCAGUAUGACGAGGACGCCCUGAUCAUAGAAGGUCCAGUGUCUUGGCAGGGUGAAAUGGCACUGAUAUCGUGUCCUGCAGGAUGCUGUGUCCUGCAAUCCUGUGUGCUGUGCUACAGACGCGUGUGGAGGUCAACCCGAAAUGGGCACAGUAGAGUGAAAGAGGGUAAGCUUAACCUAUAGCCUACGUCAGGGUUGGGGAACCUUUCUCAUUCGAAUGGCCACUUCAAAUUCAUCCGAGGGGCCAUAAAAGUCCUCCAAGGGCCGUACUAUGAACACAAACCAGGAUUUUCCCUUUCACUUUAGGCCUAUAUUGAAGGCAGCCACAUUUAAACAAACGCCAACUUCAGGUUCCCUGAAUAUAACUUAAUUGUAUUGCUAAUGUAUUUUCUAAGAUUCCUUUACAAAAUAUGUCAUAUUUCAUGUGAAGAUGGAAUUGCAUUAAAAUUAUAUCGGGGGCCGGAUAAAACAGCCUCAAGGGUCGCAAACGGCCCUAGAGACAUAGGUUCCCCACCCCUGUCCUACAUUGUCAAUAUGACUUGUGCUACUUUAUAGAUAAGUUGUCAAUGCUGUGCAUUGCUAUGUUUUGAUUUAUUUUCUUACAUCCUACAGAUCCUGGCAGGGAGACGGUAGUGUCCUGCAGGAUGGUGAUGGGCAAUCUUACAAGAGACCACAGAAAACUGAUAUAGUCUCCCAGAAGUGAGACUGAGUGCCUGUUGCAGUAUGACGAGGAAGCAGUGACCAGAGACCUUCAGUAGACCCUGCUGGCAUGAUUGGCGGCUGAAGAACAUAAUCAACAGCAAUGUUUACUUUAUAAUAUUGUACAUACCUGUAUAGUCUGCACUAAAAUGCUGUACCUGUACUAUUUUUCCUCUUACUUUCAUAUUUACCACGUAUUUACUAUGAAUUGACAACUUUUACUCAAAUCCAUUUUUGUAUGUGCCCUGACUAAAACUAUCCUUAAACCUAACCUGUCAGAGGUGUAAUAACAACCUGCUCUUAGCAAUGUGGCAGCAGUCUACUUGGAUGCAGCGGGGAACAUAGAACCCUUUUUUUGAAAAAGCAUUGUAUGUUUCUGAGUUUUAUGAAUUGUGCCCUUCCCAAACCUAACCUGUCGUAGGGGCCUAUGAAAUCCGUUUUAUUUUUCCUCAUUCAGUUUUUUUCUGAUUUAUUUU